Molecule: ribosomal RNA, 468 nt
Filed under: uncultured bacterium
Lineage: Bacteria
Description: partial 16S ribosomal RNA
Rfam family: Bacterial small subunit ribosomal RNA
Source: RNAcentral
GACGAACGCUGGCGGCGUGCUUAACACAUGCAAGUCGAACGGAAAGGCCCUGCUUUUGUGGGGUUCUCGAUUGGCGAACGGGUGAGUAACACGUGAGUAACCUUCCCUUGACUUUGGGAUAACUUCAGGAAACUGGGGCUAAUACCGGAUAGGAGCUCCUGCUGCAUGGUGGGGGUUGGAAAGUUUCGGCGGUUGGGGAUGGACUCGCGGCUUAUCAGCUUGUUGGUGGGGUAGUGGCUUACCAAGGCUUUGACGGGUAGCCGGCCUGAGAGGGUGACCGGCCACAUUGGGACUGAGAUACGGCGCAGACUGCUACGGGAGGCAGCAGUGGGGAAUAUUGCCCAAUGGGCGGGAGCCUGAUGCAGAAAAGCCGCGUGCGGGAUGACGGACUUCGUGUUGUAAACCGCUUUCGCCUGUGACGAAGCGUGAGUGACGGUAAUGGGUAAAGAAGCACCGGCUAACUACGUG